This 253-nucleotide ribosomal RNA is filed under the name uncultured bacterium. RNAcentral's name for it is "partial 16S ribosomal RNA". It matches the Rfam family "Bacterial small subunit ribosomal RNA", at positions 524 to 776 of the family's 1533-position model. The record is from RNAcentral.
UACGUAGGGUGCAAGCGUUGUCCGGAAUUAUUGGGCGUAAAGGGCGCGUAGGCGGCUUGGCAAGUGGAAGGUGAAAUCCCUCGGCUUAACCGAGGAACUGCCCUCCAAACUGCUUCGCUUGAGACCGGGAGAGGUGAGUGGAAUUCCCAGUGUAGCGGUGAAAUGCGUAGAUAUUGGGAGGAACACCAGUGGCGAAGGCGGCUCACUGGACCGGAACUGACGCUGAUGCGCGAAAGCGUGGGGAGCAAACAGG